UAACUGAUACGGUAUCGAGGUGCCCUGAAAGAGGGAGAAUAGGGAAUCCGGAAUUGUCUUCAAAGGUGACAAUAAACGGAGCGGACCCACCACUGUAAUCGGCGAGCGAUCAGAGGCCACUGGCAUAAGCCGGGAAGGUCCUGAAGAACAGCAAUGACCCGUAAGCCAGGAGACCUGCCUUGGUAUUGUAGAUUGU
Molecule: non-coding RNA, 196 nt
Filed under: Desulfosporosinus youngiae
Lineage: Bacteria; Bacillati; Bacillota; Clostridia; Eubacteriales; Desulfitobacteriaceae
Also listed under: 1 other name
Source: RNAcentral